This 62-nucleotide microRNA precursor is filed under the name Dasypus novemcinctus (nine-banded armadillo). Its description in RNAcentral is "microRNA dno-mir-672 precursor". Its record names the gene dno-mir-672. Lineage: Eukaryota; Metazoa; Chordata; Mammalia; Cingulata; Dasypodidae. The record is from miRBase by way of RNAcentral.
UGAGGUUGGUGUACUGUGUGUGAGUAUAUAUAUACUUAUCACACACAGUAGCUAUCUUCAAA